CACGUAGGGCGCAAGCGUUGUCCGGAAUUAUUGGGCGUAAAGAGCUCGUAGGCGGUCUGUUGCGUCUGCUGUGAAAACUCGGGGCUUAACCCCGAGCCUGCAGUGGAUACGGGCAGACUAGAGGUAGGUAGGGGAGAAUGGAAUUCCUGGUGUAGCGGUGAAAUGCGCAGAUAUCAGGAGGAACACCAAUGGCGAAGGCAGCUCGCUGGGACGGUACUGACGCUGAGACGCGAAAGCGUGGGGAGCAAACAGG
This 253-nucleotide ribosomal RNA is filed under the name uncultured bacterium. Its description in RNAcentral is "partial 16S ribosomal RNA". It matches the Rfam family "Bacterial small subunit ribosomal RNA", at positions 524 to 776 of the family's 1533-position model. The record is from RNAcentral.